GCCGGGCGUGGUGGCGGGCGCCUGUAAUCCCAGCUACUCAGGAGGCUGAGGCAGGAGAAUUGCUUGAACCUGGGAGGUGUAGGUUGCAGUGAGCUGAGAUCGCGCCACUGCACUCUAGCCUGGGUGACAGAGCAAGACUCCGUCUCAA
Molecule: signal recognition particle RNA, 148 nt
Filed under: Nomascus leucogenys (northern white-cheeked gibbon)
Lineage: Eukaryota; Metazoa; Chordata; Mammalia; Primates; Hylobatidae
Description: Metazoan signal recognition particle RNA
Rfam family: Metazoan signal recognition particle RNA
About the family: The signal recognition particle (SRP) is a universally conserved ribonucleoprotein.
Source: Rfam by way of RNAcentral